UGGAAGCACGGGCUGGAAUCUCUCGGGGUUACAGCCUUGCUGAAUUAUUCACCCUUGUCUUUUGCGUACUUCUUGUUUCCUUGGUGGGUUCGCCCACCACUAGGACAAACAUAAACCUUUUGUAAUUGCAAUCAGCGUCAGUAACAAAUUAAUAAUUACAACUUUCAACAACGGAUCUCUUGGUUCUGGCAUCGAUGAAGAACGCAGCGAAAUGCGAUAAGUAGUGUGAAUUGCAGAAUUCAGUGAAUCAUCGAAUCUUUGAACGCACAUUGCGCCCUUUGGUAUUCCAAAGGGCAUGCCUGUUCGAGCGUCAUUUGUACCCUCAAGCUUUGCUUGGUGUUGGGCGUCUUGUCUCUAGCUUUGCUGGAGACUCGCCUUAAAGUAAUUGGCAGCCGGCCUACUGGUUUCGGAGCGCAGCACAAGUCGCACUCUCUAUCAGCAAAGGUCUAGCAUCCAUUAAGCCUUUUUUUCAACUUUUGAACCC
RNAcentral lists this ribosomal RNA (484 nucleotides) under Alternaria sp. JF-Alt33. Its description in RNAcentral is "eukaryotic LSU rRNA". The stretch from base 160 to 313 matches the Rfam family "5.8S ribosomal RNA". Lineage: Eukaryota; Fungi; Ascomycota; Dothideomycetes; Pleosporales; Pleosporaceae. The record is from RNAcentral.